AACUCUAACUGUUGUAAACCGUC
This 23-nucleotide non-coding RNA is filed under the name Arabidopsis thaliana (thale cress). Lineage: Eukaryota; Viridiplantae; Streptophyta; Magnoliopsida; Brassicales; Brassicaceae. The record is from RNAcentral.